AGAGUUUGAUCAUGGCUCAGGGUUAACGCUGGCGGCGUGCCUAACACAUGCAAGUCGAACGGUUCUAAGCGCGAGCUUAGGAUAGUGGCGAACGGGUGAGUAAAAGGUAGGAAUCUACCCCUUGGACGGAGAUAGCUACUGGAAACGGUAGGUAAACUUCGAUAAGCCCGAGAGGGGAAAGUGGCGAGACAGCCGAGGGAUGAGCCUACUCUCCAUCAGGUAGUUGGUGAGAUAAAAGCUUACCAAGCCGAUGACGGAUAACCGGUGUGAGAGCAUGAACGGUCACAAGGGCACUGAGAGACGGGCCCUACUCCUACGGGAGGCAGCAGUGGGGAAUCUUGGACAAUGGGCGAAAGCCUGAUCCAGCGACGCCGCGUGGAGGAAGAAGUCCUUCGGGAUGUAAACUUCUGAACUAGCCGAAUAAAAGGCCUGUGGACACACAGGAGAAGAAAGUAGGCUAGGAAAAGUCCCGGCUAACUACGUGCCAGCAGCCGCGGUAAGACGUAGGGGGCAAGCGUUACCCGGAAUUACUGGGCGUAAAGGGGGCGUAGGCGGUAAAAGAAGUCAUCUGUGAAAACCUAUUGCUCAACGAUAGGCUAGCGGAUGAAACUGAAUUACUUGAGGGCACCAGAGGUAGACGGAAUUACCCGAGUAGGGGUGAAAUCCGCAGAUACGGGUAGGAACGCCGGUGGAGAAGUCGGUCUACUGGGGUGCACCAGACGCUGAGGCCCGAAAGCUAGGGGAGCAAACCGGAUUAGAUACCCGGGUAGUCCUAGCCGUAAACGAUGCUCACUAGGUGUAGGGAGUGAUAAACUCUCUGUGCUGAAGCGAACGCGCUAAGUGAGCCGCUUGGGGAGUACGUCCGCAAGGAUGAAACUCAAAUGAAUUGACGG
RNAcentral lists this ribosomal RNA (893 nucleotides) under uncultured bacterium. Its description in RNAcentral is "bacterial SSU rRNA". It matches the Rfam family "Bacterial small subunit ribosomal RNA", at positions 8 to 916 of the family's 1533-position model. The record is from RNAcentral.